This 252-nucleotide ribosomal RNA is filed under the name uncultured bacterium. RNAcentral's name for it is "partial 16S ribosomal RNA". It matches the Rfam family "Bacterial small subunit ribosomal RNA", at positions 81 to 334 of the family's 1533-position model. The record is from RNAcentral.
UACUUUGGUGGCGACCGGCGCACGGGUGCGUAACGCGUAUGCAACCUACCUUUAACAGGGGCAUAACACUGAGAAAUUGGUACUAAUUCCCCAUAACAUUCGAGAAGGCAUCUUCUUGGGUUAAAAACUCCGGUGGUUAAAGAUGGACAUGCGUUGUAUUAGCUAGUUGGUGAGGUAACGGCUCACCAAGGCAACGAUACAUAGGGGGACUGAGAGGUUAACCCCCCACAUUGGUACUGAGACACGGACCAA